GAUCCUUACUCAGGAUGAACGCUGGCGGCGUGCUUAACACAUGCAAGUCGAACGAAGCGCUUGAGAUUGAUUCUUCGGAAGAUUUCUCUUGUGACUUAGUGGCGGACGGGUGAGUAACGCGUGGGUAACCUGCCUCACACAGGGGGAUAACAGUUGGAAACGACCGCUAAUACCGCAUAACCCGCUAGGGCCGCAUGGCCCGGACGGAAAAGAUUUAUCGGUGUGAGAUGGACCCGCGUUGGAUUAG
RNAcentral lists this ribosomal RNA (247 nucleotides) under uncultured bacterium. RNAcentral's name for it is "partial 16S ribosomal RNA". It matches the Rfam family "Bacterial small subunit ribosomal RNA", at positions 15 to 244 of the family's 1533-position model. The record is from RNAcentral.